UAGUCCACGCCGUAAACGAUGUCUACUUGGAGGUUGUGGCCUUGAGCCGUGGCUUUCGGAGCUAACGCGUUAAGUAGACCGCCUGGGGAGUACGGUCGCAAGAUUAAAACUCAAAUGAAUUGACGGGGGCCCGCACAAGCGGUGGAGCAUGUGGUUUAAUUCGAUGAUACGCGAGGAACCUUACCUAGGCUUAAAUGUAGAUUGACCGUCUGUGAAAACAGAUUUUCCUUGUGACAAUCUUCAAGGUGCUGCAUGGUUGUCGUCAGCUCGUGCUGUGAGGUGUCGGGUUAAGUCCCAUAACGAGCGCAACCCCUAUCUUUAAUUGCCAGCGAGUAAUGUCGGGGACUUUAAAGAGACUGCCUGUGUAAACAGAGAGGAAGGUGGGGAUGACGUCAAAUCAUCACGGCCCUUACGUCUAGGGGCUACACACGUGCUACAAUGGGUAACUACAG
RNAcentral lists this ribosomal RNA (452 nucleotides) under uncultured bacterium. RNAcentral describes it as "bacterial SSU rRNA". It matches the Rfam family "Bacterial small subunit ribosomal RNA", at positions 791 to 1242 of the family's 1533-position model. The record is from RNAcentral.